This 2234-nucleotide ribosomal RNA is filed under the name Staphylococcus aureus. RNAcentral describes it as "partial 23S ribosomal RNA". It matches the Rfam family "Bacterial large subunit ribosomal RNA", at positions 688 to 2925 of the family's 2925-position model. Lineage: Bacteria; Bacillati; Bacillota; Bacilli; Caryophanales; Staphylococcaceae. The record is from RNAcentral.
UAGGGCGUUUAGUAUUUGGUCGUAGACCCGAAACCAGGUGAUCUACCCUUGGUCAGGUUGAAGUUCAGGUAACACUGAAUGGAGGACCGAACCGACUUACGUUGAAAAGUGAGCGGAUGAACUGAGGGUAGCGGAGAAAUUCCAAUCGAACCUGGAGAUAGCUGGUUCUCUCCGAAAUAGCUUUAGGGCUAGCCUCAAGUGAUGAUUAUUGGAGGUAGAGCACUGUUUGGACGAGGGGCCCCUCUCGGGUUACCGAAUUCAGACAAACUCCGAAUGCCAAUUAAUUUAACUUGGGAGUCAGAACAUGGGUGAUAAGGUCCGUGUUCGAAAGGGAAACAGCCCAGACCACCAGCUAAGGUCCCAAAAUAUAUGUUAAGUGGAAAAGGAUGUGGCGUUGCCCAGACAACUAGGAUGUUGGCUUAGAAGCAGCCAUCAUUUAAAGAGUGCGUAAUAGCUCACUAGUCGAGUGACACUGCGCCGAAAAUGUACCGGGGCUAAACAUAUUACCGAAGCUGUGGAUUGUCCUUUGGACAAUGGUAGGAGAGCGUUCUAAGGGCGUUGAAGCAUGAUCGUAAGGACAUGUGGAGCGCUUAGAAGUGAGAAUGCCGGUGUGAGUAGCGAAAGACGGGUGAGAAUCCCGUCCACCGAUUGACUAAGGUUUCCAGAGGAAGGCUCGUCCGCUCUGGGUUAGUCGGGUCCUAAGCUGAGGCCGACAGGCGUAGGCGAUGGAUAACAGGUUGAUAUUCCUGUACCACCUAUAAUCGUUUUAAUCGAUGGGGGGACGCAGUAGGAUAGGCGAAGCGUGCGAUUGGAUUGCACGUCUAAGCAGUAAGGCUGAGUAUUAGGCAAAUCCGGUACUCGUUAAGGCUGAGCUGUGAUGGGGAGAAGACAUUGUGUCUUCGAGUCGUUGAUUUCACACUGCCGAGAAAAGCCUCUAGAUAGAAAAUAGGUGCCCGUACCGCAAACCGACACAGGUAGUCAAGAUGAGAAUUCUAAGGUGAGCGAGCGAACUCUCGUUAAGGAACUCGGCAAAAUGACCCCGUAACUUCGGGAGAAGGGGUGCUCUUUAGGGUUAACGCCCAGAAGAGCCGCAGUGAAUAGGCCCAAGCGACUGUUUAUCAAAAACACAGGUCUCUGCUAAACCGUAAGGUGAUGUAUAGGGGCUGACGCCUGCCCGGUGCUGGAAGGUUAAGAGGAGUGGUUAGCUUCUGCGAAGCUACGAAUCGAAGCCCCAGUAAACGGCGGCCGUAACUAUAACGGUCCUAAGGUAGCGAAAUUCCUUGUCGGGUAAGUUCCGACCCGCACGAAAGGCGUAACGAUUUGGGCACUGUCUCAACGAGAGACUCGGUGAAAUCAUAGUACCUGUGAAGAUGCAGGUUACCCGCGACAGGACGGAAAGACCCCGUGGAGCUUUACUGUAGCCUGAUAUUGAAAUUCGGCACAGCUUGUACAGGAUAGGUAGGAGCCUUUGAAACGUGAGCGCUAGCUUACGUGGAGGCGCUGGUGGGAUACUACCCUAGCUGUGUUGGCUUUCUAACCCGCACCACUUAUCGUGGUGGGAGACAGUGUCAGGCGGGCAGUUUGACUGGGGCGGUCGCCUCCUAAAAGGUAACGGAGGCGCUCAAAGGUUCCCUCAGAAUGGUUGGAAAUCAUUCAUAGAGUGUAAAGGCAUAAGGGAGCUUGACUGCGAGACCUACAAGUCGAGCAGGGUCGAAAGACGGACUUAGUGAUCCGGUGGUUCCGCAUGGAAGGGCCAUCGCUCAACGGAUAAAAGCUACCCCGGGGAUAACAGGCUUAUCUCCCCCAAGAGUUCACAUCGACGGGGAGGUUUGGCACCUCGAUGUCGGCUCAUCGCAUCCUGGGGCUGUAGUCGGUCCCAAGGGUUGGGCUGUUCGCCCAUUAAAGCGGUACGCGAGCUGGGUUCAGAACGUCGUGAGACAGUUCGGUCCCUAUCCGUCGUGGGCGUAGGAAAUUUGAGAGGAGCUGUCCUUAGUACGAGAGGACCGGGAUGGACAUACCUCUGGUGUACCAGUUGUCGUGCCAACGGCAUAGCUGGGUAGCUAUGUGUGGACGGGAUAAGUGCUGAAAGCAUCUAAGCAUGAAGCCCCCCUCAAGAUGAGAUUUCCCAACUUCGGUUAUAAGAUCCCUCAAAGAUGAUGAGGUUAAUAGGUUCGAGGUGGAAGCAUGGUGACAUGUGGAGCUGACGAAUACUAAUCGAUCGAAGACUUAAUCAA